Molecule: ribosomal RNA, 253 nt
Filed under: uncultured bacterium
Lineage: Bacteria
Description: partial 16S ribosomal RNA
Rfam family: Bacterial small subunit ribosomal RNA
Source: RNAcentral
UUCGAAGGGUGCAAGCGUUACUCGGAAUUACCGGGCGUAAAGCGUGCGUAGGUGGUUUGUUAAGUCUGAUGUGAAAGCCCUGGGCUCAACCUGGGAAUUGCAUUGGAUACUGGCAAUCUAGAGUGUGUCAGAGGGGGGUAGAAUUCCACGUGUAGCAGUGAAAUGCGUAGAGAUGUGGAGGAAUACCGAUGGCGAAGGCAGCCCCCUGGGAUAACACUGACGCUCAUGUACGAAAGCGUGGGUAGCAAACAGG